UCGAUUCCCGGAUGGCGCA
Molecule: small nuclear RNA, 19 nt
Filed under: Phaeodactylum tricornutum CCAP 1055/1
Lineage: Eukaryota; Bacillariophyta; Bacillariophyceae; Surirellales; Neidiaceae
Description: snRNA PTsRNA00055a
Source: RNAcentral